Molecule: long non-coding RNA, 1914 nt
Filed under: Daphnia pulex (common water flea)
Lineage: Eukaryota; Metazoa; Arthropoda; Branchiopoda; Diplostraca; Daphniidae
Description: uncharacterized LOC124208893
Source: RNAcentral
GAGAACUCGACGUUUAAAAACUUGUUGCAUAGUUUAGUUCGUGACAAAAUUCCAAAAGUAGGUGAGAGAGGUGAACCCUUCCUUACCUGUGUUUGUUCACGUGAUAAGACGACAUGGAGUGUGUCGUGGGCCUCGAGUGGCUAAGCUAAAGUGCUACUCGGCUUCGAAUGGCUUUGCAAUCGUCUUGUCUCUGCAUUGAUCUUGGGCAGCUGUUUACUUCACACCGUUCAACACUUAAACUUUGUCACUUUUUGUGGAAAGAAGUUCUCCCUCAAAAUGGAAUAUAUUUGAAAGGCAACUAACGACAGAAUAGGCAACAGAAUCUAUUUUUAGAGAAAUUCCAAUUUUCCCCUUUCGUAACUGGCCAUUGCCAUAGUCUCUGGGCAGGAGAUUUUGUCUUUGGCACUGUUUAUAGGAGUAGCUCUUUUCUUUAUUCUGCGCUUUGGUUGAAAGGUUCAUCCAAAUUGUCUACACUGUCCCACAGUCUUGGUACACUCCAGCGGACUUAGCUCUUCUACGGUUUAUUAGCUCGGCAGGAUGCAACUCUCGGGUCAAUGAUUCAACUGUUGGCCGGUAUACAUGCCGACUAAGGAGACGCUGCGUCGCAGUGGACUGUCGGCACAGAACUCCGGCGGUUUUGAGGUCCGCGAGGAUCUUGACGACGUGCUCGGGCAUGGGUGGAGGAGUGGGGAGGUGGUCGCCGGUGGCCUGGAAUCCGUUUUCAUCGGCCACCCAAUUGACGGUGAGGACGACGCCGUCGGGAGUCGUGAACGAGUAGGAGCCCUUGGACACGGUGCCGAUAUCCUCCGGUUUGGGUCCAACUUGUUUCUGGCUGCCACUUUCAGACACUUUGGUGCCAUCGGCAGACUCGAAACUGAUUUACAAUUCAUUAGGAUCUUAGAAUAGGAUCUAAUGACACCAGGAUUAAUUAACUUACUCGAAGGAGUAGCUGCCGUCGGCGUUCAUUUCGCUGUUGGAUGACACAAUUUCGAUGGGCUUUUUAUCUCCUUGAGGAGCGGCGAGGGCCACGGCCAAGAAAGCGACAGCGACGAUCUGGUAGUGCAUCAAGUCAAAAUAAAAGCCGGUUUCGGUUGUUUAGCUGCUCUUCUGAAGACAGUUGAAGGAAUUGUGUGAAGAAGAUUGCGAUGUUGGCCAAUUUUUAUACCCUGCAGUUGCGGUUGAGUGAAAGUGAUCAGCAAAGACCUUCCACAGAAUGCAGUUAAAUAAAAGCUACCAGCAACCAAAUUCAGACAAGGAUUUCAAGACGCCUUACCUAAAGAGAGUGUGGCGUUUCUUCUGGGUUUUUCCAAUAAGGAUGGAGUCGGUAUAAUUGGCUAAUUAAGGACUAAUUUGGAAAUGGUGUUUUGGUGCAAUGCUGUUCCUUUUUGACAUAGCACAGAAUUGACAAACUUCAUCAGUUUUGACAUCUUCGAUGCAGAUGCCCAGAUGCCAACCCUAAAUAGCGGCAUUUCCAAAUCUCUGACAUUGUUUGGAAACUUUGUAGGCUGAUUGCUUCACGAGAUUUGGAUAGAUGUGAUUUGUGGUGUUAAAUCUUUGCCUGAGCCUGAAGAUACUACACAGUCUUGCAUGCUGAUUGUAUUUGAUGCUGUGCAAGCCCUAAUGGUUAAAGGAAGGCAACCUCAUUGAUGUAUGUAUUGGUUUGGCAACUGCUUAAUCUGAAAGGGGCUCUUGUAUUUCUUCAAGUCAGAGAAUUUAUUGUAAGCCAGUAAGUUGAAUGUUCAUCUUGAAAUAGUUGAAGAGAUCGAAUGGAGUCUACUCUUCAACAACAAGGGGAUUCAACAUCGAGUUACAUAUUGAAGUUUUACAGUAGUAACUCGAGUUGAACAACAGUAAUAUAUAAUUUGUGCUAUGAUAUAUAUUCUGUAUGAGUGAGAAAUGAAAUAUACAAAUUAU